This 912-nucleotide ribosomal RNA is filed under the name Bacillus velezensis. RNAcentral's name for it is "partial 16S ribosomal RNA". It matches the Rfam family "Bacterial small subunit ribosomal RNA", at positions 600 to 1533 of the family's 1533-position model. The record is from RNAcentral. Lineage: Bacteria; Bacillati; Bacillota; Bacilli; Caryophanales; Bacillaceae.
CCCCCCGGCUCAACCCGGGGAGGGUCAUUGGAAACUGGGGAACUUGAGUGCAGAAGAGGAGAGUGGAACUUCCACGUGCAGCGGUGAAAUGCGUAGAGAUGUGGAGGAACACCAGUGGCGAAGGCGACUCUCUGGUCUGUAACUGACGCUGAGGAGCGAAAGCGUGGGGAGCGAACAGGAUUAGAUACCCUGGUAGUCCACGCCGUAAACGAUGAGUGCUAAGUGUUAGGGGGUUUCCGCCCCUUAGUGCUGCAGCUAACGCAUUAAGCACUCCGCCUGGGGAGUACGGUCGCAAGACUGAAACUCAAAGGAAUUGACGGGGGCCCGCACAAGCGGUGGAGCAUGUGGUUUAAUUCGAAGCAACGCGAAGAACCUUACCAGGUCUUGACAUCCUCUGACAAUCCUAGAGAUAGGACGUCCCCUUCGGGUUAGGCAGAGUGACAGGUGGUGCACUGGUUGUACGUCAGCUCGUGUUCCGUGAGAUGUUGGGUUAACGUCCCGCAACGAGCUGCAACCCUUGAUCUUAGUUGCUCAGUCAUUCAGUUGGGCACUGUGGAAGGUGCACUGCCGGUGACAAACCGGAGGAAGGUGGGGAUGACGUCAAAUCAUCAUGCCCCUUAUGACCGAUGGGCUACACASGUCGGCUACGAAUGGWCAGAACAAAGGGCAGCCGAAACCKCGMSGUUAAGCCAAUCCSMCAAAUCKGUUCCAUCAGUWMGUGAUMGCAGWAGCCACCUUKWAUGUGUGAACCAUGAAUCGGUUGUAAUAACGAACCRGYAUUAGCCSCGGUGAAUACGUUCCCGGRGUUAUCCYAGUMYUACASCGCMSGUYACACCACGWGAGUUASUAACACCCGUCCGUCGGUCUAACAUCAGGGAGCAAGUCUACCGCGAUCAUGUCCGCUCGACUGCA